GACGAACGCUGGCGGCGUGCCUAAUACAUGCAAGUUGAGCGCUGAAGGUUGGUACUUGUACCGACUGGAUGAGCAGCGAACGGGUGAGUAACGCGUGGGGAAUCUGCCUUUGAGCGGGGGACAACAUUUGGAAACGAAUGCUAAUACCGCAUAAAAACUUUAAACACAAGUUUUAAGUUUGAAAGAUGCAAUUGCAUCACUCAAAGAUGAUCCCGCGUUGUAUUAGCUAGUUGGUGAGGUAAAGGCUCACCAAGGCGAUGAUACAUAGCCGACCUGAGAGGGUGAUCGGCCACAGUGGGACUGAGACACGGCCCAAACUCCUACGGGAGGCAGCAGUAGGGAAUCUUCGGCAAUGGACGAAAGUCUGACCGAGCAACGCCGCGUGAGUGAAGAAGGUUUUCGGAUCGUAAAAAUCUGUUGGUAGAGAAGAACGUUGGUGAGAGUGGAAAGCUCAUCAAGUGACGGUAACUACCCAGAAAGGGACGGCUAACUACGUG
This 497-nucleotide ribosomal RNA is filed under the name uncultured bacterium. Its description in RNAcentral is "partial 16S ribosomal RNA". It matches the Rfam family "Bacterial small subunit ribosomal RNA", at positions 28 to 507 of the family's 1533-position model. The record is from RNAcentral.